ACGACGCUGGCGGCGUGCCUAAUACAUGCAAGUAGAACGCUGAAGGAGGAGCUUGCUCUUCUGAUGAGUUGCGAACGGGUGAGUAACGCGUAGGUAACCUGCCUGGUAGCGGGGGAUAACUAUUGGAAACGAUAGCUAAUACCGCAUAAUAUUGACUAUUGCAUGAUAGUCAAUUGAAAGGUGCAAAUGCACCACUACCAGAUGGACCUGCGUUGUAUUAGCUAGUUGGUGGGGUAACGGCUCACCAAGGCGACGAUACAUAGCCGACCUGAGAGGGUGAUCGGCCACACUGGGACUGAGACACGGCCCAGACUCCUACGGGAGGCAGCAGUAGGGAAUCUCCGGCAAUGGACGGAAGUCUGACCGAGCAACGCCGCGUGAGUGAAGAAGGUUUUCGGAUCGUAAAGCUCUGUUGUAAGAGAAGAACGAGUGUGAGAGUGGAAAGUUCACACUGUGACGGUAUCUUACCAGAAAGGGCGGCU
RNAcentral lists this ribosomal RNA (482 nucleotides) under Streptococcus cristatus. RNAcentral describes it as "bacterial SSU rRNA". It matches the Rfam family "Bacterial small subunit ribosomal RNA", at positions 33 to 498 of the family's 1533-position model. Lineage: Bacteria; Bacillati; Bacillota; Bacilli; Lactobacillales; Streptococcaceae. The record is from RNAcentral.